RNAcentral lists this ribosomal RNA (292 nucleotides) under uncultured bacterium. Its description in RNAcentral is "partial 16S ribosomal RNA". The record is from RNAcentral.
GGACUACCGGGGUAUCUAAUCCUGUUUGCUCCCCACGCUUUCGUGCAUGAGCGUCAGUACAGGUCCAAGGGGCUGCCUUCGCCAUCGAUGUUCCUCCUGAUAUCUACGCAUUUCACUGCUACACCAGGAAUUCCACCCCUCUCUACCGUACUCUAGUCAUACAGUCACAAACGCAGUUCCCAGGUUGAGCCCGGGGAUUUCACAUCUGUCUUAUAUAACCGCCUGCGCACCCUUUACGCCCAGUAAUUCCGAUUAACGCUCGCACCCUACGUAUUACCGCGGCUGCUGGCAC